This 374-nucleotide ribosomal RNA is filed under the name uncultured Desulfuromonas sp. RNAcentral describes it as "bacterial SSU rRNA". It matches the Rfam family "Bacterial small subunit ribosomal RNA", at positions 1008 to 1382 of the family's 1533-position model. Lineage: Bacteria; Pseudomonadati; Thermodesulfobacteriota; Desulfuromonadia; Desulfuromonadales; Desulfuromonadaceae. The record is from RNAcentral.
UUAAGGGUCAGUUCGGCUGGAUCGGUGACAGGUGCUGCAUGGCUGUCGUCAGCUCGUGUCGUGAGAUGUUGGGUUAAGUCCCGCAACGAGCGCAACCCUCGUCCUUAGUUGCCAGCAUUCAGUUGGGCACUCUAAGGAGACUGCCGGUGUUAAACCGGAGGAAGGCGGGGAUGACGUCAAGUCCUCAUGGCCCUUAUGUCCAGGGCUACACACGUGCUACAAUGGCCGGUACAAAGGGUAGCAAGACCGCGAGGUGGAGCCAACCCCAAAAAGCCGGUCUCAGUUCGGAUUGGAGUCUGCAACUCGACUCCAUGAAGUUGGAAUCGCUAGUAAUCGUGGAUCAGCAUGCCACGGUGAAUACGUUCCCGGGCCUU